RNAcentral lists this unclassified non-coding RNA (391 nucleotides) under soil metagenome. RNAcentral describes it as "partial contains 5.8S ribosomal RNA, internal transcribed spacer 2, and large subunit ribosomal RNA". The stretch from base 1 to 122 matches the Rfam family "5.8S ribosomal RNA", at positions 35 to 154 of the family's 154-position model. The record is from RNAcentral.
GAUGAAGAACGUAGCGAAAUGCGAUACUUGGUGUGAAUUGCAGAAUCCCGUGAACCAUCGAGUCUUUGAACGCAAGUUGCGCCCGAAGCCAUUAGGCCGAGGGCACGCCUGCCUGGGCGUCGCACGUCGUUGCCCCCCCAUCUACUCCUUCGGGAUUGCGGGGGGCGGAUGAUGGCCUCCCGUGCGCCUCGCCGCGCGGUUGGCAUAAAUGCCAAGUCCUCGGCGACGCACGCCACGACAAUCGGUGGUUGCGAAACCUCGGUUGCCCGUCGUGUGCGGUCGUCGCGCAUCGAGGGCUCGAAAAAAUUGCCGGGUUCCGGCUCGGCUUUCAACGCGACCCCAGGUCAGGCGGGGUUACCCGCUGAAUUUAAGCAUAUCAAUAAGCGGAGGA